RNAcentral lists this ribosomal RNA (244 nucleotides) under uncultured bacterium. RNAcentral's name for it is "partial 16S ribosomal RNA". It matches the Rfam family "Bacterial small subunit ribosomal RNA", at positions 528 to 772 of the family's 1533-position model. The record is from RNAcentral.
GAGGAUGCGAGCGUUAUCCGGAUUUAUUGGGUUUAAAGGGUGCGUAGGCGGAAAGUUAAGUCAGCGGUAAAAUCGAGGGGCUCAACCCCUUCCCGCCGUUGAAACUGGUUUUCUUGAGUGGAAGAGAAGUAUGCGGAAUGCGUGGUGUAGCGGUGAAAUGCAUAGAUAUCACGCAGAACCCCGAUUGCGAAGGCAGCAUACCGGCUUCCAACUGACGCUGAAGCACGAAAGCGUGGGGAUCGAA